Molecule: ribosomal RNA, 103 nt
Filed under: Caerostris darwini
Lineage: Eukaryota; Metazoa; Arthropoda; Arachnida; Araneae; Araneidae
Source: RNAcentral
ACCAUGCUGAAUAUACCGGUUCUCGUUAGAUCACCGAAGUUAAGCAUCAUUGGGCGUGGUCAGUACUUGGGUGGGUGACCACCUGGGAACACUGCGUGCCGUU